AACGAUAAAUUCGCGUUUUAAACGCCCACACGAGUAAUCAAAUAUUAAAAAAGAACAUAUUGUUAUGUAGAAUUAUUGGUAUGUAAUUUUCUAGUGUAUGCGUAUGCAUACAUAAGAUCACUGCAAUUAAAAAGUAAUUAAUAAUAUUUUAUUAAGUUACUCUCAAAAAAAAUAAUUAAGUAACCUUUUUU
Molecule: unclassified non-coding RNA, 191 nt
Filed under: uncultured SAR86 cluster bacterium
Lineage: Bacteria; Pseudomonadati; Pseudomonadota; Gammaproteobacteria
Description: 16S-23S ribosomal RNA intergenic spacer
Source: RNAcentral